UUGCCCAAUGAUUAUAGCAAGACGCGUUAUUACGAGGACUAAUGCUGGAACUCUACUUCUUACUCUUGCUCUUCCCUUUUCUUCUUUGUCCUUCUUUGCUUUCACCUUUUUUAUCCCUCACUUAUUUUCUUGGGGUGUCCAGCGUCCUAUGAACACGAUUAUGAGAUAUGAGGGCAA
Molecule: small nucleolar RNA, 177 nt
Filed under: Crocodylus porosus (Australian saltwater crocodile)
Lineage: Eukaryota; Metazoa; Chordata; Crocodylia; Crocodylidae
Description: Small nucleolar RNA SNORD97 (ENSCPRG00005006064.1)
Rfam family: Small nucleolar RNA SNORD97
Source: Rfam by way of RNAcentral